This 72-nucleotide transfer RNA is filed under the name Camelus bactrianus (Bactrian camel). It matches the Rfam family "tRNA". Rfam says of the family: Transfer RNA (tRNA) molecules are approximately 80 nucleotides in length. Their secondary structure includes four short double-helical elements and three loops (D, anti-codon, and T loops). Further hydrogen bonds mediate the characteristic L-shaped molecular structure. tRNAs have two regions of fundamental functional importance: the anti-codon, which is responsible for specific mRNA codon recognition, and the 3' end, to which the tRNAs corresponding amino acid is attached (by aminoacyl-tRNA synthetases). tRNAs cope with the degeneracy of the genetic code in two manners: having more than one tRNA (with a specific anti-codon) for a particular amino acid; and 'wobble' base-pairing, i.e. permitting non-standard base-pairing at the 3rd anti-codon position. Lineage: Eukaryota; Metazoa; Chordata; Mammalia; Artiodactyla; Camelidae. RNAcentral also lists the same sequence under 2 other names. The record is from Rfam by way of RNAcentral.
GAGGGGAUGGCUCAGUGGUAGAGAGCUUGCCUAACAUGCAUGAGGUCCUGGGUUCAACGCCCAGUACCUCCG